Molecule: unclassified non-coding RNA, 1151 nt
Filed under: Hevea brasiliensis (rubber tree)
Lineage: Eukaryota; Viridiplantae; Streptophyta; Magnoliopsida; Malpighiales; Euphorbiaceae
Source: RNAcentral
UAAGUUCCUGAGACUAUCUUAAGAUUAAGUAAUAAAGAAAGGGAACACAAGAAAUGUUUAAGAGUUUACAGGAAGCUCUUCAGUAAAGCCUAGGCAUCGACAAACGGAAUCAGAAUAAAAAAGCAAAUCCCUUCAGCAAAGCUGACAGCACAUUACUUGUUAGUAACAGAAAAAAACUCAUUACCAAACAUUGUUACCACUUCACUUCCAUUAUGUUUGAACCCUCCUAUCUAUCUACCAACUCCAUCAAUCACCCACCUAGCUCAUUUUUUUCAGCAGAUACCAUUAUAGAAACUCCCAACACUUGACCCCUACAAUAGCAUAUGUAGCAAUUCCAACUUUAAUGAACAAAUACAGUAUCAUUCCUCCUAGGUGGUCUGUCGGGAAUACUUCCUGGCUUGAACUUCGAAGCCUCGUGCCGGGCAAGUUCUGGGGGAACAGGACUGUUGCUUUGUGUGAGCAUUUGUUUAAGAUCAUAAAAGACUUCAGUAUCCUGCAUGGUCAAGAAUGUUGUGGCUACACCCGUCUUUCCUGCACGACCUGUACGUCCAAUACGAUGGGUGUAUGCUUCAAUAUUGUUUGGCAUAUCAAAGUUUAUCACAUGGGCCACAUCAGGUAUAUCAAUACCACGACCAGCAACGUCAGUAGCAACUAACACAUUGUACCUCUUGGUCCUAAAUCCUUCAAGGCUGAUUUCUCUUUGCUCCUGAGACUUUCCACCAUGCAGUGUGGUUACCCUGUAGCCGUUUUUAUCCAGAUUCUUGGCAACAAAAUCAGCCUGCUUCUUAGUGUUGAUGAACACAAUAGCUGUCUUAUCUCCAAGCUCAUCCAGCAAUUUCUGCAGUUUAUACAUUUUCUCUGAUUCCUUUACCAUAAACACGUGCUGAGUGAUGAGGUCAGUAGUCUUUCCAGCAGUGCCAAUAGUCACAACAACAGGAUUUCUCAAGUAUUUUCUAGCCAGCCGCUCCACAGCAGGUGGCAUGGUAGCACUGAACAUAUAAGUGGUUCGAUAAAUUCUCUUCUCAUCAAGCUCUUCAUCCUCAUUCUCCGGUUUCAUAUUACUUGAAGGCAUAGCAUCCAGUACACCAACAACUUGAGGCUCAAAACCCAUGUCAAUCAUACGGUCCGCUUCAUCAAGAACAACAUAAUUA